This 253-nucleotide ribosomal RNA is filed under the name uncultured bacterium. Its description in RNAcentral is "partial 16S ribosomal RNA". It matches the Rfam family "Bacterial small subunit ribosomal RNA", at positions 524 to 776 of the family's 1533-position model. The record is from RNAcentral.
UACAGAGGGUGCAAGCGUUAAUCGGAAUUACUGGGCGUAAAGCGCACGUAGGCGGCUAUUCAAGUCGGGGUUGAAAGCCCGGGGCUCAACCCCGGAACUGCCCUCGAAACUAGAUAGCUAGAAUCUUGGAGAGGUCAGUGGAAUUCCGAGUGUAGAGGUGAAAUUCGUAGAUAUUCGGAAGAACACCAGUGGCGAAGGCGACUGACUGGACAAGUAUUGACGCUGAGGUGCGAAAGCGUGGGGAGCAAACAGG